Molecule: ribosomal RNA, 119 nt
Filed under: Gossypium arboreum
Lineage: Eukaryota; Viridiplantae; Streptophyta; Magnoliopsida; Malvales; Malvaceae
Source: RNAcentral
GCGUGCGAUCAUACCAGCACUACUGCACCGGAUCCCAUCAGAACUCUGCAAUUAAGCCUGCUUGGGCGAGAGUAGUACUAGGCUGGGUGACCUCCCUGGAAGUCCUUGUGUUGUACCCC